RNAcentral lists this long non-coding RNA (821 nucleotides) under Lonchura striata (white-rumped munia). RNAcentral describes it as "domestica (Bengalese finch) lncRNA (ENSLSDG00000003967.1)". The record is from RNAcentral. Lineage: Eukaryota; Metazoa; Chordata; Aves; Passeriformes; Estrildidae.
GUGAAAUCACUGGCACUUUUGUAGGAAGGAGUAUUGAAGGCUCUGUGGACAGUACUGAACAUUAACAAAUUCACAGAAGCAUGCACACUGAUCCUGCCUUUGUGGUAACAACCAUAAUGAACUGGGAGACUGUAAAGACUCCAUGUUCACCUUCAGUGAAAACCUGUGUCCUGCUUUUCCAAUGAGCUGUGAGAAUAACCUGAAGUUAUGAAACCUAUGGCAAACACUAAGUUGAGUGUUGAUUUUUUUUAUUCCUCUCCUCUUCUUUUGUCAGUUGUGUGAAUACAAAUACAAUAACCCUCGUUGUUAAGGAUAUAAUCUUUGCUGCCUAGUUUUCUUUCAUUCAAGAUUGUCAGGAGCUGAGGGGAACAGGAGAGAAGUGUGCUGAUGGCUUAGCAUGUGGAGAUUUCAGUGAGAAUAGGGAGCCAUGCAGUGAGAAUAGGGAACCAAGCAUCCCUGUUGGAUGUGCAGCACAGAUUAGAUCCUGUGUCCAGAUUAAGGAGCAGACACUUCAAGAUCCUGCUUCUCCAGUCAUCCAGGUCAGGUCAAAGUAACAUCCAGUCAGGCUUUGCAUGGCAUGAGGCAGAAACAGGAUUUUCUAGCAUGCUGUGAAAUCUGAUCUCUGGAACUCUCAGUGAAGACAUCUACUUGAUACUUGCAAUGUAAAUUAGCCUGUAUUCUAGUAUCUUUGGAUGUUCACUUUAUCUUUGAUCAGUAUGUUCUCCAUUUGCUGCCCUGAUACACCCAAGGGAGCCCUACAAACUGACAUCAGGAACCUGGACUGCUGAGUUUUCUUUCCCAGGGAAAAUGGAAAAAGGAUG